Molecule: non-coding RNA, 26 nt
Filed under: Rattus norvegicus (Norway rat)
Lineage: Eukaryota; Metazoa; Chordata; Mammalia; Rodentia; Muridae
Source: RNAcentral
AGGAAUAUAGAGUCCCCUCUUCCCAG